This 477-nucleotide ribosomal RNA is filed under the name uncultured Sphingobacteriales bacterium. RNAcentral describes it as "bacterial SSU rRNA". It matches the Rfam family "Bacterial small subunit ribosomal RNA", at positions 903 to 1382 of the family's 1533-position model. Lineage: Bacteria; Pseudomonadati; Bacteroidota; Sphingobacteriia; Sphingobacteriales. The record is from RNAcentral.
AAAGGAAGUUGACGGGGGCCCGCACAAGCGGAGGAACAUGUGGUUUAAUUCGAUGAUACGCGAGGAACCUUACCUGGGCUUAAAUGGGGAGUGACAGCUGUCGAAAGAUGGUUUUCUUCGGACACUCUUCAAGGUGCUGCAUGGUUGUCGUCAGCUCGUGCCGUGAGGUGUCGGGUUAAGUCCCAUAACGAGCGCAACCCUUACCGUUAGUUACCAUCAGGUUAAGCUGGGGACUCUAGCGGGACUGCCACCGUAAGGUGAGAGGAAGUGGGGAUGACGUCAAAUCAGCACGGCCCUUAUGUCCAGGGCUACACACGUGUUACAAUGGCCAGUACAAAGGGCAGCUACCGGGUGACCGGAUGCUAAUCUCUAAAGCUGGUCUCAGUUCGGAUCGAAGUCUGCAACCCGACUUCGUGAAGCUGGAUUCGCUAGUAAUCGCGCAUCAGCCAUGGCGCGGUGAAUACGUUCCCGGGCCUU